Molecule: ribosomal RNA, 468 nt
Filed under: Escherichia coli
Lineage: Bacteria; Pseudomonadati; Pseudomonadota; Gammaproteobacteria; Enterobacterales; Enterobacteriaceae
Description: bacterial SSU rRNA
Rfam family: Bacterial small subunit ribosomal RNA
Source: RNAcentral
AUUGAACGCUGGCGGCAGGCCUAACACAUGCAAGUCGAACGGUAACAGGAAACAGCUUGCUGUUUCGCUGACGAGUGGCGGACGGGUGAGUAAUGUCUGGGAAACUGCCUGAUGGAGGGGGAUAACUACUGGAAACGGUAGCUAAUACCGCAUAACGUCGCAAGACCAAAGAGGGGGACCCUCGGGCCUCUUGCCAUCGGAUGUGCCCAGAUGGGAUUAGCUUGUUGGUGGGGUAACGGCUCACCAAGGCGACGAUCCCUAGCUGGUCUGAGAGGAUGACCAGCCACACUGGAACUGAGACACGGUCCAGACUCCUACGGGAGGCAGCAGUGGGGAAUAUUGCACAAUGGGCGCAAGCCUGAUGCAGCCAUGCCGCGUGUAUGAAGAAGGCCUUCGGGUUGUAAAGUACUUUCAGCGGGGAGGAAGGGAGUAAAGUUAAUACCUUUGCUCAUUGACGUACCCGCAGAA